GGUUCCUUAGCCAAGGUGGUAAGGCAAAUGACUGCAAAUCAUUCAUCGACGGUUCGACUCCGCCAGGAACCU
This 72-nucleotide transfer RNA is filed under the name Firmicutes bacterium CAG:345. It matches the Rfam family "tRNA". Rfam says of the family: Transfer RNA (tRNA) molecules are approximately 80 nucleotides in length. Their secondary structure includes four short double-helical elements and three loops (D, anti-codon, and T loops). The record is from Rfam by way of RNAcentral. Lineage: Bacteria; Bacillati; Bacillota.